RNAcentral lists this ribosomal RNA (468 nucleotides) under uncultured bacterium. RNAcentral describes it as "partial 16S ribosomal RNA". It matches the Rfam family "Bacterial small subunit ribosomal RNA", at positions 28 to 507 of the family's 1533-position model. The record is from RNAcentral.
GACGAACGCUGGCGGCGUGCUUAACACAUGCAAGUCGAACGGAAAGGCCCUGCUUUUGUGGGGUGCUCGAGUGGCGAACGGGUGAGUAACACGUGAGUAACCUGCCCUUGACUUUGGGAUAACUUCAGGAAACUGGGGCUAAUACCGGAUAGGAGCUCCUGCUGCAUGGUGGGGGUUGGAAAGUUUCGGCGGUUGGGGAUGGACUCGCGGCUUAUCAGCUUGUUGGUGGGGUAGUGGCUUACCAAGGCUUUGACGGGUAGCCGGCCUGAGAGGGUGACCGGACACAUUGGGACUGAGAUACGGCACAGACUCCUACGGGAGGCAGCAGUGGGGAAUAUUGCACAAUGGGAGGAAGCCUGAUGCAGCAACGCCGCGUGCGGGAUGACGGCCUUCGGGUUGUAAACCGCUUUCGCAUGUGACGAAGCGUGAGUGACGGUAAUGGGUAAAGAAGCACCGGCUAACUACGUG